This 117-nucleotide non-coding RNA is filed under the name Nomascus leucogenys (northern white-cheeked gibbon). The record is from Rfam by way of RNAcentral. Lineage: Eukaryota; Metazoa; Chordata; Mammalia; Primates; Hylobatidae.
GCUGGGCAUGGUGGCUCAUGCCUGUAAUCCCAGCACUUUGGGAGGCCGAGGCGGGUGGAUCACCUGAGGUCAGGAGUUUGAGACCACCCUGACCAACAUGGAGAAACCCCGUCUCUA